AGCGAACGCUGGCGGCAGGCCUAACACAUGCCAGUCGAACGGAUCCUUCGGGAUUAGUGGCGGACGGGUGAGUAACACGUGGGAACGUGCCCUUUGGUUCGGAACAACUCAGGGAAACUUGAGCUAAUACCGGAUGUGCCCUUCGGGGGAAAGAUUUAUCGCCAUUGGAGCGGCCCGCGUCUGAUUAGCUAGUUGGGGAGGUAACGGCCCACCAAGGCGACGAUCAGUAGCUGGUCUGAGAGGAUGAUCAGCCACACUGGGACUGAGACACGGCCCAGACUCCUACGGGAGGCAGCAGUGGGGAAUCUUGCGCAAUGGGCGAAAGCCUGACGCAGCCAUGCCGCGUGAAUGAUGAAGGUCUUAGGAUUGUAAAAUUCUUUCAGCGGGGACGAUAAUGACGGUACCCGCAGAAGAAGCUCCGGCUAACUUCGUG
RNAcentral lists this ribosomal RNA (433 nucleotides) under uncultured bacterium. Its description in RNAcentral is "partial 16S ribosomal RNA". It matches the Rfam family "Bacterial small subunit ribosomal RNA", at positions 29 to 507 of the family's 1533-position model. The record is from RNAcentral.